This is a long non-coding RNA of Thamnophis elegans (Western terrestrial garter snake), 208 nucleotides long. RefSeq lists it as uncharacterized. Lineage: Eukaryota; Metazoa; Chordata; Lepidosauria; Squamata; Natricidae. The record is from RefSeq and is a predicted model, not a curated record. The transcript is spliced from 2 exons.
AAGAAAGAAAGAAAGAACGAAAGAAAGAAAGCUGUUCAUGAAGAGUUUUACAUGCCUCUGGAAAGGGGCACAGCUGAAAUGACUCCUUUCUUACGUCCCUGCCACAAACCUAGCCAAGUAUCUAACAUUGCUGAUACUACGUUUGCUGAUACCAAAAGAACUAUCUUGUUCAACCAUUGCAAAAUUGAUUUAUGAAUGGGGCCCAACU